AGGACGAACGCUGGCGGCGUGCUUAACACAUGCAAGUCGAACGGUAAGGCCCCUUCGGGGGUACACGAGUGGCGAACGGGUGAGUAACACGUGAGCAACCUGCCCUUGACAUUGGAAUAACAGUUGGAAACAGCUGCUAAUACCGGGUAUGACACAUCUUCGCAUGGGGGUGUGUGGAAAGCCUUGGCGGUCAAGGAUGGGCUCGCGGCCUAUCAGCUAGUUGGUGAGGUAAUGGCUCACCAAGGCUUCGACGGGUAGCCGGCCUGAGAGGGCGACCGGCCACACUGGGACUGAGAUACGGCCCAGACUCCUACGGGAGGCAGCAGUGGGGAAUAUUGCACAAUGGGCGAAAGCCUGAUGCAGCAACGCCGCGUGCGGGAUGACGGCCUUCGGGUUGUAACCGCUUCAGUGGGACGAAGCUAACGUGACGGUACCUACAGAAGAAGCACCGGCCAACUACGCGCCAGCAGCCGCGGU
Molecule: ribosomal RNA, 477 nt
Filed under: uncultured bacterium
Lineage: Bacteria
Description: SSU rRNA
Rfam family: Bacterial small subunit ribosomal RNA
Source: RNAcentral